Molecule: small RNA, 2548 nt
Filed under: Pongo abelii (Sumatran orangutan)
Lineage: Eukaryota; Metazoa; Chordata; Mammalia; Primates; Hominidae
Description: retained intron
Source: RNAcentral
AGACUGACUAUUUGGAUGGAAGUUUUAGCACAAGCACAAAUGCCAUUCACAUUCGUAUGUAUGCAACAAGGAAAGCUAAUUUACAGGCAUCCCAUUGAAUUGUGGGAAAUCCUAGGAAAUUUUUAAGAAGCAAGGAAUUAUAAGUUACCGCCAGGGAGGCCCUGUCAUCGCGGUGCAAGUGGAGAAUGAAUAUGGCUCAUUCAAUAAGGAUAAAACAUACAUGCCGUAUCUCCACAAGGCCCUGCUGAGAAGAGGGAUUGUGGAGCUUCUCUUGACCUCUGAUGGUGAGAAACAUGUGCUGAGCGGCCACACCAAAGGAGGUACACAUUUAGAGUUAGUUCACAGGAGAACAGGGCUCUCAGCCAGCCCGUGUAUAUCUUGAACACACUGCAGAGGUAUGCAUCUCCAUACCUCCCUUUCCCGUGUCCACUGGGAUGGAUCCUGGAGUUGGAUGUUACAAUAAAUGAGGACUCAAGGUCAAGGCUCAGGGCCACUCACCAGCUCCCUCUCUUGGCCUUGCUCCUGCCAUCUUUAAACACAGCAGCACUGGAACUCCUCUGUUCUCAGGACGCCUUUCCGUCUCCCAUAGUUUUUCUGUGGCAAGAAAUCUGCAUUGGUGCUGGGCCUGGCGUGGGAUCAGGGUCGUCUCCACUAACUCGGGAAACCACAGGGAGAACCAGAAGAUGGGUGUUGUGUCAGGAACCCCGCCUAGAUCCGGUUCCAUUCCUGGGAUCCUACCGCCCAAGUCUCCGUGUGGACACUUAGGAGAUCCUAGAGAAUUAAGUGGCAGGAAGAUUCUGGACGGACUCAUCAGAUGGCAAUAGUGAGGGACACUCCCGGGUGUGAGCAGGCCAGCGGGGCGAGCCACUGCUGGCGGCUGCCGUUCUGCCUCCUUAGUAGUGGCUCUUCCAAGGAAGCCUGGCACACUGGAACACGUGCUGAGCUUGGGGCCAGGAAGCCUGCGUCCCGUUUCCAGUCUAAUCAUGUCAGGGAGCCUUGGCCUGGCUCACUUCUCUGCACAGAGUGUGGUUAAUUUUAACAAUGAGAGUCCUCGCAAGUGUCAGGGAUGUGGCGAUGGCCAUGGCAGCCCUUUGGAUGUGGCAGAGUGGGAUCCAGACAGCAUCUCGCCAUCCUCACUGCUGAGCAUGUGUUCCUCCGUUCCUCCUGCCUGCGACCGGGCCGGGGGCGGAUUCCUUCCCUUCCCUGACAGCACUUGUCUCAUGCCUCAGCUGGGCCUCUCUCUUCUUUAUGCAGUGCUGGCCGCCAUCAAUUUGCAAAAACUUCACCAGAAUGCUUUCAGUCAGCUUCAUAAAGUCCAGCCAGUCAGGUCGCGUCAGCCCGUCAACAUGGAGAACCUGCCCAUCAACCAUGGGAGCGGCCAGUCCUACGGGCUUGUCCUGUAUGAGAAGUCCAUCUGCUCCGGAGGCCGCCUCCGUGCCCAAGCUCACGACAUGGCACAGGUGUUUUUGGAUGAGACAAUGAUAGGGAUUCUGAAUGACAAUAAUGAGGACCUGCACAUUCCUGAACUCAGGGAAUCACUGGAUCUGUCAGCAUCAAUGACUCUUCCCUGGAGGGCUUUACCAUCUAUUCCCUGGAGAUGAAAAUGAGCUUCUUUGAGAGGCUCCGCUCUGCCACCUGGAAGCCAGUCCCAGACAGCCACCAGGGCCCAGCCUUCUACCGUGGGACCUUGAAGGCUGGCCCUUCUCCCAAGGACACCUUCCUGAGCCUGCUGAACUGGAAUUAUGGAUUCGUGUUCAUCAAUGGACGUAACCUUGGGCGAUAUUGGAAUAUUGGGCCUCAGAAAACACUGUACCUUCCUGGAGCUUGGCUUCAUCCAGAAGACAAUGAGGUCAUCUUGUUUGAGAAGAUGAUGAGUGGCUCAGACAUCAAAUCUACAGACAAGCCCAUGCUGUAAAACCGUAUCUGAACUUUUUGUUUUUUGUUUUUUGAGACAAAGUCUCACUCUGUUGCCCAGGCUGGAGUGCAGUGGCCAGAUCUCGGCUCACUGCAAGCUCUGCCUCCUGGAUUCAUGCUAUUCUCCUGCCUCAGCCUCCCUGGCAGCUGGGACUACAGGCGCCCGCCACCACGCCCGGCUAUUUUUUUGUAUUUUUAGUAGAGACAGGGUUUCACCUGUUAGCCAGGAUGUUCUUGAUCUCCUGACCUUGUGAUCCACCCCCCUCGGCCUCCCAAAGUGCUGGGAUUACAGGCGUGAGCCACCACGCCCGGCCGUGAACAUAUUUUUUGGGUUGCUGGAGUUCAUCUAUAAGUCAUUUUUGAGGAAUAAGAUUUAUGUUAAGACUAUCAAACACAGUGUUGCCUACAAUAGCAAAAAUGUGAAAACAACAACAACAACAACAAUAAAAAACCAGCAGAGGAAUUGUUAUGUAUUUUGUAGUCUAUCUAUAUGAUGCCUAUUUUUAGGCUUUAAAAAGUCUUCAAAAUCUUUAAUGACUGAUUUAUCUAGUUAAAUGCUUAAUCCUUAGCAGGCUCUUAUUCUUUAAUUAAAUGUGCCUUUAAGUAGAUGUGAAUAAAAUAAAAACAAGUUUCA